Molecule: ribosomal RNA, 301 nt
Filed under: uncultured bacterium
Lineage: Bacteria
Description: partial 16S ribosomal RNA
Rfam family: Bacterial small subunit ribosomal RNA
Source: RNAcentral
CAGUCGCCGCGGGAAUACAGAGGGUGCGAGCGUUAAUCGGAUUUACUGGGCGUAAAGCGUGCGUAGGCGGCUAAUUGAGUCGGAUGUGAAAUCCACGAGCUUAACUUGGGAAUUGCAUUCGAUACUGGUUAGCUAGAGUGUGGGAGAGGAUGGUAGAAUUCCAGGUGUAGCGGUGAAAUGCGUAGAGAUCUGGAGGAAUACCGAUGGCGAAGGCAGCCAUCUGGCCUAACACUGACGCUGAGGUACGAAAGCAUGGGGAGCAAACAGGAUUAGAUACCCGUGUAGUCCCUGUCUCUUAUAC